This 1445-nucleotide ribosomal RNA is filed under the name Limosilactobacillus fermentum. RNAcentral's name for it is "bacterial SSU rRNA". It matches the Rfam family "Bacterial small subunit ribosomal RNA". The record is from RNAcentral. Lineage: Bacteria; Bacillati; Bacillota; Bacilli; Lactobacillales; Lactobacillaceae.
CAAGUCGAACGCGUUGGCCCAAUUGAUUGAUGGUGCUUGCACCUGAUUGAUUUUGGUCGCCAACGAGUGGCGGACGGGUGAGUAACACGUAGGUAACCUGCCCAGAAGCGGGGGACAACAUUUGGAAACAGAUGCUAAUACCGCAUAACAGCGUUGUUCGCAUGAACAACGCUUAAAAGAUGGCUUCUCGCUAUCACUUCUGGAUGGACCUGCGGUGCAUUAGCUUGUUGGUGGGGUAACGGCCUACCAAGGCGAUGAUGCAUAGCCGAGUUGAGAGACUGAUCGGCCACAAUGGGACUGAGACACGGCCCAUACUCCUACGGGAGGCAGCAGUAGGGAAUCUUCCACAAUGGGCGCAAGCCUGAUGGAGCAACACCGCGUGAGUGAAGAAGGGUUUCGGCUCGUAAAGCUCUGUUGUUAAAGAAGAACACGUAUGAGAGUAACUGUUCAUACGUUGACGGUAUUUAACCAGAAAGUCACGGCUAACUACGUGCCAGCAGCCGCGGUAAUACGUAGGUGGCAAGCGUUAUCCGGAUUUAUUGGGCGUAAAGAGAGUGCAGGCGGUUUUCUAAGUCUGAUGUGAAAGCCUUCGGCUUAACCGGAGAAGUGCAUCGGAAACUGGAUAACUUGAGUGCAGAAGAGGGUAGUGGAACUCCAUGUGUAGCGGUGGAAUGCGUAGAUAUAUGGAAGAACACCAGUGGCGAAGGCGGCUACCUGGUCUGCAACUGACGCUGAGACUCGAAAGCAUGGGUAGCGAACAGGAUUAGAUACCCUGGUAGUCCAUGCCGUAAACGAUGAGUGCUAGGUGUUGGAGGGUUUCCGCCCUUCAGUGCCGGAGCUAACGCAUUAAGCACUCCGCCUGGGGAGUACGACCGCAAGGUUGAAACUCAAAGGAAUUGACGGGGGCCCGCACAAGCGGUGGAGCAUGUGGUUUAAUUCGAAGCUACGCGAAGAACCUUACCAGGUCUUGACAUCUUGCGCCAACCCUAGAGAUAGGGCGUUUCCUUCGGGAACGCAAUGACAGGUGGUGCAUGGUCGUCGUCAGCUCGUGUCGUGAGAUGUUGGGUUAAGUCCCGCAACGAGCGCAACCCUUGUUACUAGUUGCCAGCAUUAAGUUGGGCACUCUAGUGAGACUGCCGGUGACAAACCGGAGGAAGGUGGGGACGACGUCAGAUCAUCAUGCCCCUUAUGACCUGGGCUACACACGUGCUACAAUGGACGGUACAACGAGUCGCGAACUCGCGAGGGCAAGCAAAUCUCUUAAAACCGUUCUCAGUUCGGACUGCAGGCUGCAACUCGCCUGCACGAAGUCGGAAUCGCUAGUAAUCGCGGAUCAGCAUGCCGCGGUGAAUACGUUCCCGGGCCUUGUACACACCGCCCGUCACACCAUGAGAGUUUGUAACACCCAAAGUCGGUGGGGUAACCUUUAGGAGCCAGCCGCCUAA